CUUUGGGUAGUUUAAUUAGAAUGUCAGCUUUGGGUGUUGACGGUAGGGCUAGGUGCCCUUCCCCUGA
RNAcentral lists this transfer RNA (67 nucleotides) under Petrosaltator rozeti (North African sengi). RNAcentral's name for it is "tRNA-Pro". The record is from RNAcentral. Lineage: Eukaryota; Metazoa; Chordata; Mammalia; Macroscelidea; Macroscelididae.